CCCUUAGAUGUUCGGGGCUGCACAUGCGCUACACUGAAGGAAUCAACGUGUAUUUGCCCUUGCCCGAAAGGGUUGGGUAACCCGUUGAACCUCCUUCGUGCUAGGGAUUGGGGCUUGUAAUUAUUCCCCAUGAACGAGGAAUUCCCAGUAAGCGCGAGUCAUAAGCUCGCGUUGAUUACGUCCCUGCCCUUUGUACACACCGCCCGUCGCUACUACCGCUUGAAUGGUUUAGUGAGAUCCUCGGAUUGGUCCCGCCACGGGAGGAAACUUUCGAGGCGGAGUGCCGAGAAGACGAUCAAACUUGAUCAUUUAGAGGAAGUAAAAGUCGUAACA
RNAcentral lists this ribosomal RNA (333 nucleotides) under uncultured eukaryote. RNAcentral's name for it is "partial 18S ribosomal RNA". It matches the Rfam family "Eukaryotic small subunit ribosomal RNA", at positions 1470 to 1796 of the family's 1831-position model. The record is from RNAcentral.